This 165-nucleotide ribosomal RNA is filed under the name uncultured bacterium. RNAcentral describes it as "partial 16S rRNA". It matches the Rfam family "Bacterial small subunit ribosomal RNA", at positions 354 to 511 of the family's 1533-position model. The record is from RNAcentral.
GUAGGGAAUCUUCCACAAUGGACGCAAGUCUGAUGGAGCAACGCCGCGUGAGUGAAGAAGGGUUUCGGCUCGUAAAGCUCUGUUGUUAAAGAAGAACGUGGGUAAGAGUAACUGUUUACCCAGUGACGGUAUUUAACCAGAAAGCCACGGCUAACUACGUGCCAA